AUGUCCCCACCUGGCUCCGCUGCCACCCGCCCUGCUGCCAGGAGCCGGCCCUGUCACCUUGUCACCGUCCUCUGCCCAUGGCACAGCUCCCAGGGCACUUUUUCCUUUUUCCUUUCUCCUUUCCCUUUUUCCUUUCCUUUCAUCCCUCCCCACGGCACAUCCUCCCCUAUGGAAUAUCCUCCCCUAUGGAAUAUCCUCCCUAGGGAACAUCCCUCCCCACGGCAGAUCCCACCCCCUGGCACAGCUCUCCCUGGCACAUCCCUCGCUCCGUGCCAGCUCCGGCGGCGGUUUUUCCCCGGGCCGGGAAUAUUCGGGAAUUCCCGAGCAGCCCCGUUCGCGUUCCCAGCGGCGCCGGGAGAGCGGGAGCAGCGCUGGAAAAACUCCGGGAGCGGCGCGGGCCAUGCCAGGAGCGCUCCCGGCGGGACAACGGCGGCUUUGUGGGAGUUGUUGUUGUUGCCGCUGGAAUUCGCCGGGAUCCGCCGGGAGCAGCGGCUUUUCCAUGCCAGAAAUCCGCCGCUCCCACCCGUCGUUCCCGCUGGGUCCCAGACCCCAUCCCGCUCCCGAGUGAAAUUUCCCGGGAAUUCCGCGAUCCCCGCACCGGGAGCCGUGGGGGGGCCGGGAAUGCUCCCGCUUCUCCGGCGCUUUCCCCAUUCCCAUUCCCGCAUUCCCGAACUUCCCGGGAGCCGACCCUCGGGAUCAGCGGGAAAACCUGGGAAAAGCCGGGACUUACGGCGCUGCUCGGAGCCGCCGCUGGAUGCGGCGUUUUCCAGCGCUGCCUCGGAAUCCCGGGAUUACUCAGCUGGGAACAAACACUGCCCACAUGCAAUUCCCGGCCGGGCGGGCGCGGCUUUUCCAGAGGCAGGAUCCCGCCAGGAAGCGCCCCCAGGGAUGAUCCCAGAGCCGGCAAUUCCCAGGUUUUGGGAGCGAAUGAGCCCUGGCUCGUCCAAGGGAAAAAGGUUCCCAGAUAAACCCGGAAAUCGGCGCGGCCAAAGGCGGCCGGGAUCGGAUCCAGCGGCGAGGAAGUGGAAAAAAAGCAGGAAAAAUAUCAAUUCCCAGCCCUGCCGCGCAUCUCCCGCUCCCAGCACCUCUGGAAAACUCCCGGAGCUCCUCCAGAGGAGCCUGGCGGUUCCAGCCCUCCCGCGGCUCCUCAUUCCCAGAUUGUUCCCGGCUGGAUGGGAAUGA
Molecule: long non-coding RNA, 1182 nt
Filed under: Serinus canaria (Common canary)
Lineage: Eukaryota; Metazoa; Chordata; Aves; Passeriformes; Fringillidae
Description: lncRNA (ENSSCAG00000010661.1)
Source: RNAcentral